RNAcentral lists this transfer RNA (77 nucleotides) under Hyphomicrobiales bacterium. RNAcentral's name for it is "tRNA-Asp". It matches the Rfam family "tRNA". From Rfam's summary of the family: Transfer RNA (tRNA) molecules are approximately 80 nucleotides in length. Their secondary structure includes four short double-helical elements and three loops (D, anti-codon, and T loops). Lineage: Bacteria; Pseudomonadati; Pseudomonadota; Alphaproteobacteria; Hyphomicrobiales. The record is from RNAcentral. RNAcentral also lists the same sequence under 2 other names.
GCGGGAGUAGCUCAGUUGGUUAGAGCGUCGCCCUGUCACGGCGAAGGUCGCGGGUUCGAGCCCCGUCUCUCGCGCCA